Long non-coding RNA from Hemicordylus capensis (graceful crag lizard), 785 nucleotides. RefSeq lists it as uncharacterized. The transcript has 3 exons. The record is from RefSeq and is a predicted model, not a curated record. Lineage: Eukaryota; Metazoa; Chordata; Lepidosauria; Squamata; Cordylidae.
AACACACCGUACAAGCAGACAUGGUCUCGCGCCUGCGCAGAAAGAGCAAGCGAAAGCCGGACAGCGGCAGGCUCAACUCGUUAACUCGGUAUUGGUAGGCAAUGAAGGCGGGCGCAGGGUACACACAGAGCGCCGCGAUUGGCUUAGCGGGGAGCUUGGAAGUUGCGUCAGAGGGUAGUGAGGACCAUAGAGCUGGAUGAAGACAGGAAGAAGCGACACUCUCUAGUUCUUGGCUUGGUUUAAUAAGAAUUCGGUUAGAGGAGGGAAUGCGCGACGUAUCCCAGGAGGACGGAGUCCAGGUGCGCUCGCGAACACCUAAGCGCUGGCUUUGGGUAUGGAGGAGGAGGAAGAGCAUGAGGGAGUGAUGGAGAUGGCAGUUGGGAUUAAUUUACCUUUACUGCGACCUGAAGUGUGUUGGGUUUCUCUUGCUGUGCUUCUUUCAACGUGCCUGCGUGAGGAUUUCAGGGGAUAAAGCGCAUGCUGACGCUGCCUUUGAAGAUUUCUGGGUACAUUUUUAUCCUGUUUAAGUUUCAAGAGCUAAUAGCUGGUGCUUCGGUUAUCAGUCCAUAAGAAUUGUUAACAUUUCCAGCUCUUCAACCAUAUUUUUGAAAUUCUCCCAGUACACAAAGCAUUACAUUGAUGCUUGAGCCUUGGUAGGGCAAAGCCAGACAUGCCAGACAGCAUCUCCUGGGUGUUUUCGAGAUGACACACUGGAAUGUACUCACACCACAUCCACUAAGUUGUCCUCCAGAUUGCCUGUGUUUCCCACAUCAGUGUCGCUGCGU